AAAGCAUGGUGAGGGCAUUUCUUAAGCAAUUUAUUAAAUCUCUCCCAACUCUCAUAAAUCAAUUCUCCUUCAAAUUGGGUAAAAGAAGUGAUAUUAUUUAUAAGUUU
Molecule: small nucleolar RNA, 107 nt
Organism: Dendrobium catenatum
Lineage: Eukaryota; Viridiplantae; Streptophyta; Magnoliopsida; Asparagales; Orchidaceae
Source: RefSeq, a predicted model, not a curated record